UCUGGCGGGGAGUGGCAUACUGCUCAGUAACACGUAGCUAACCUAACCUCAAGACGGAAAUAACCCCGGGAAACUGGGGUCAAUGUCCGAUAGAUGUGAAUUCCUGGAAUGGUAUCACAUCCAAAUGUCAGUACACCAUGUUGUACGAACGCUUGAGGAUGGGGCUGCGGCCGAUCAGGCUGUUGGUGGGGUAAUGGCCCACCAAACCUUUGACCGGUAUGGGCCAUGAGAGUGGUAGCCCAGAGAUGGACACUGAGACAAGGGUCCAGGCCCUACGGGGCGCAGCCGGUACGAAACCUCCACAAUGCACGCAAGUGCGAUGGGGUUAACUCGAGUGCUACCUGAAGAAGGUAGCUUUUCCAUGGUCUAAAUAGCCGUGGGAAUAAGGGGGGGGCAAGACUGGUGUCAGCCGCCGCGGUAACACCAGCCCCCCGAGUGGUAGGGAUGUUUAUUUGGCCUAAAGCGUCCGUAGCCGGCUAGGUAAAUUUCUCGUUAAAUCCAACGUCCUAAGCGUUGGGCUGCGAAAAAGGCUGCCAAGCUAGAGGGUGGGAGAGGUCAGCGGUAUUCCUGGGGUAGGGGCGAAAUCCAUUGAACCCAGGAGGACCACCAGUGGCGAAGGCUGCUGACUAGAACACGCCUGACGGUGAGGGACGAAAGCUGGGGUAGCGAAUCGGAUUAGAUACCCGAGUAGUCCCAGCUGUAAACGAUGCAGACUAGGUGUUGGGUUGGCCACGCGCCGACUCAGUGCCACAGGGAAGCCAUUAAGUCUGCCGCCUGGGAAGUACGGCCGCAAGGCUGAAACUUAAAGGAAUUGGCGGGGGAGCACCACCAGGCGUGAAGCCUGCGGUUUAAUUGGAGUCAACGCCGGGAACCUUACCGGGAGCGACAGCAGAGUGAAGGCCAGGCUAAAGGUCUUGCCAGACGAGCUGAGAGGAGGUGCAUGGCCGUCGCCAGUUCGUGCCGUGAGGUGUCCUCUUAAGUGAGGUAACGAACGAGACCCGCGCCGCAUGUUGCUAACAAGUCCUAAAGGGAUGUUGAGCACUCUUGCGGGACCGCAGCCGACAAGGCUGAGGAAGGUGCGGGCAACGGCAGGUCAGUAUGCCCCGAAUCUCCCGGGCCACACGCGGGCUGCAAUGGUAGAGACAGAGGGCUGCAACCCCGAAAGGGGAAGCCAAUCCCUAAACUCUACCUCAGCUGGGAUUGAG
RNAcentral lists this ribosomal RNA (1205 nucleotides) under metagenome. RNAcentral's name for it is "bacterial SSU rRNA". It matches the Rfam family "Archaeal small subunit ribosomal RNA", at positions 67 to 1258 of the family's 1478-position model. The record is from RNAcentral.